GCUUACGACCACACCGGCCUGAGUACGCCUGAUCUCGUCUGAUCUCGGAAGCUAAGCAGGGUCGGCCUGGUAGUACUUGGAUGGGAGACCGCCUGGGAAUACCAGGUGCUGUAAGCU
This 117-nucleotide ribosomal RNA is filed under the name Oncorhynchus kisutch (coho salmon). The record is from RNAcentral. Lineage: Eukaryota; Metazoa; Chordata; Actinopteri; Salmoniformes; Salmonidae.